UGCUUAGGAUUCUUGACCUGAGUCAGAAUCACCCUACAACUGUGCCGGAGGGCAUCAAGAAUUUCACUGCACUCAUUGAGCUUGAUCUGUCUGACAACAAUAUAACAGCACUCCCAGCGGAGCUGGGAUUGCUUGAAGCUAACCUGCAAGUGUUGAAACUGGAUGGAAAUCCGCUAAGAAGGUAAGAAUGUAACCUCGAGCUAGUAUGGGGUCACGUC
This is a long non-coding RNA of Zea mays, 218 nucleotides long. RefSeq lists it as uncharacterized. NCBI's taxonomy places the organism in Eukaryota, Viridiplantae, Streptophyta, Magnoliopsida, Poales, Poaceae. The record is from RefSeq and is a predicted model, not a curated record. The transcript has 3 exons.